CCUACGGGAGGCAGCAGUGGGGAAUAUUGGACAAUGGGCGAAAGCCUGAUCCAGCCAUGCCGCGUGUGUGAAGAAGGCCUUCGGGUUGUAAAGCACUUUCAGUGGGGAAGAAAGCCUUGGGGCUAAUACCCUCGAGGAAGGACAUCACCCACAGAAGAAGCACCGGCUAACUCCGUGCCAGCAGCCGCGGUAAUACGGAGGGUGCGAGCGUUAAUCGGAAUUACUGGGCGUAAAGCGCGCGUAGGCGGUCUGAUAAGCCGGUUGUGAAAGCCCCGGGCUCAACCUGGGAACGGCAUCCGGAACUGUCAGGCUAGAGUGCAGGAGAGGAAGGUAGAAUUCCCGGUGUAGCGGUGAAAUGCGUAGAGAUCGGGCGGAAUCCCAGUUGCGAAGGCGGCCUUCUGGAUUGAAACUGACGCUGAGGUGCGAAAGCGUGGGUAGCAAACAGGAUUAGAUACCCCAGUAGUC
This 465-nucleotide ribosomal RNA is filed under the name Vreelandella stevensii. Its description in RNAcentral is "partial 16S ribosomal RNA". It matches the Rfam family "Bacterial small subunit ribosomal RNA", at positions 338 to 795 of the family's 1533-position model. Lineage: Bacteria; Pseudomonadati; Pseudomonadota; Gammaproteobacteria; Oceanospirillales; Halomonadaceae. The record is from RNAcentral.